RNAcentral lists this transfer RNA (76 nucleotides) under Aeromonas veronii AMC35. Its description in RNAcentral is "tRNA-Thr". It matches the Rfam family "tRNA". From Rfam's summary of the family: Transfer RNA (tRNA) molecules are approximately 80 nucleotides in length. The record is from RNAcentral. Lineage: Bacteria; Pseudomonadati; Pseudomonadota; Gammaproteobacteria; Aeromonadales; Aeromonadaceae.
GCUGGCUUAGUUCAGUAGGUAGAGCUACUGACUUGUAAUCAGUAGGUCACCUGUUCGAUUCCCGUAGCAAGUACCA